AUUGAACGCUGGCGGCAGGCCUAACACAUGCAAGUCGAGCGAGCGGCGGACGGGUGAGUGAUGCCUAGGAAUCUGACUGGUAGUGGGGGAUAACGUCCGGAACCGGGCGCUAAUACCGCAUACUCUCAGCUGAGCCCGGAUGGGAAUAGCUUGUGGGUGGGGUAACGGCUCAGCAAGGCGACGAUCCCUAGCUGGUCUGAGAGGAUGACCAGCCACACUGGAACUGAGACACGGUCCAGACUCCUACGGGAGGCAGCAGUGGGGAAUAUUGCACAAUGGGCGCAAGCCUGAUGCAGCCAUGCCGCGUGUAUGAAGAAGGCCUUCGGGUUGUAAAGUUCUUUCAGCGGGGAGGCGUUACCCGCAGAAGAAGCAUCGGCUAACUCCGUGCCAGCAGCCGCGGUAAUUC
This 406-nucleotide ribosomal RNA is filed under the name uncultured bacterium. RNAcentral's name for it is "partial 16S ribosomal RNA". It matches the Rfam family "Bacterial small subunit ribosomal RNA", at positions 30 to 526 of the family's 1533-position model. The record is from RNAcentral.